CCCGGGCCUUGUACACACCGCCCGUCACAUCACGAAAAGUCGGCUGUACCAGAAGUCGGUGUUCUAACCCGCAACGGGAGGAAGCCGCCUAAGGUAUGGUCGGUAAUUGGGGUG
This 114-nucleotide ribosomal RNA is filed under the name uncultured bacterium. RNAcentral's name for it is "partial 16S ribosomal RNA". It matches the Rfam family "Bacterial small subunit ribosomal RNA", at positions 1373 to 1482 of the family's 1533-position model. The record is from RNAcentral.